This 74-nucleotide transfer RNA is filed under the name uncultured archaeon. RNAcentral describes it as "tRNA-Val(cac)". It matches the Rfam family "tRNA". Rfam says of the family: Transfer RNA (tRNA) molecules are approximately 80 nucleotides in length. The record is from RNAcentral.
UGGGCCUGUGGUCUAGCGGUAUGACGCCACACUCACACUGUGGAUGUCGCAGGUUCAAAUCCUGCCGGGCCCAA